This 512-nucleotide ribosomal RNA is filed under the name uncultured bacterium. RNAcentral's name for it is "partial 16S ribosomal RNA". It matches the Rfam family "Bacterial small subunit ribosomal RNA", at positions 28 to 507 of the family's 1533-position model. The record is from RNAcentral.
GAUGAACGCUGGCGGCGUGCCUAAUACAUGCAAGUCGAACGAAACUUCUUUAUCACCGAGUGCUUGCACUCACCGAUAAAGAGUUGAGUGGCGAACGGGUGAGUAACACGUGGGCAACCUGCCCAAAAGAGGGGGAUAACACUUGGAAACAGGUGCUAAUACCGCAUAACCAUAGUUACCGCAUGGUAACUAUGUAAAAGGUGGCUAUACUACCGCUUUUGGAUGGGCCCGCGGCGCAUUAGCUAGUUGGUAGGGUAAAGGCUUACCAAGGCAAUGAUGCGUAGCCGAAUUGAGAGGUUGAUCGGCCACAUUGGGACUGAGACACGGCCCAAACUCCUACGGGAGGCAGCAGUAGGGAAUCUUCCACAAUGGGCGAAAGCCUGAUGGAGCAACGCCGCGUGGGUGAAGAAGGUCUUCGGAUCGUAAAACCCUGUUGUUAGAGAAGAAAGUGCGUGAGAGUAACUGUUCACGUUUCGACGGUAUCUAACCAGAAAGCCACGGCUAACUGCGUG